AAGUCGUAACAAGGUCUCCGUUGGUGAACCUGCGGAGGGAUCAUUACCACGUUUCCAACGUAUCAAACAAACCGCGAACUUGUAAAAAAUUCACCUAUCAUAUGAACACGGGACUAAGUUGAUAGAUAAUAGCGCCUUGAUGGGUCACUGGGAAACUAGUGACGUGCGCUUCUUAGUCUACCCAGAAGUAAAACGCUGGAGGUGAUUCAUUGUGGGCUUGCUAAAUUUCCCAUCAUUUUUUUAUCUUUAACGAUACCACCCUUUACUAAUUGACUAACCCCUUGACUUGUGUCCCGAAAGGGAUCAAGUUGAAUCGUAGUUUAUCGAAACUAAGUACAACUCUUAGCAACGGAUAUCUCGGUUCUC
Molecule: unclassified non-coding RNA, 366 nt
Filed under: fungal sp.
Lineage: Eukaryota; Fungi
Description: partial internal transcribed spacer region
Rfam family: Eukaryotic small subunit ribosomal RNA (bases 1-46)
Source: RNAcentral